RNAcentral lists this ribosomal RNA (118 nucleotides) under Rhinopithecus roxellana (golden snub-nosed monkey). Lineage: Eukaryota; Metazoa; Chordata; Mammalia; Primates; Cercopithecidae. The record is from RNAcentral.
GUCUAUGGCCAUACCACAUUGAGUGCGUCAGAUCUCGUGUGAUCUCAGAACCUAAGCAGGGUUGGGCCUAGUCAGUACUUGGGUGGGAGACCACCUGGAAUACUGGGUGCUCUAGGCU